GGCGUGUACUGCUUGGCUGGGCCUUACUUCUUGGUGAGCCGGCGUGCCCUUUAUUGGUGUGCGUCGGGGAACCAGGACUUUUACCUUGAGAAAAUUAGAGUGUUCAAAGCAGGCCUAUGCCUGAAUACAUUAGCAUGGAAUAAUAGAAUAGGACGUGCGGUUCUAUUUUGUUGGUUUCUAGAGUCGCCGUAAUGAUUAAUAGGGACAGUUGGGGGCAUUGGUAUUGAGUCGCUAGAGGUGAAAUUCUUGGAUUGACUCAAGACCGACUAUUGCGAAAGCAUUUGCCAAGGAUGUUUUCAUUAAUCAAGAACGAAGGUUAGGGGAUCGAAAACGAUCAGAUACCGUUGUAGUCUUAACAGUAAACUAUGCCGACUAGGGAUCGGAUGACCUCAAAAUUGAUGUGUCAUUCGGCACCUUACGAGAAAUCAAAGUCUUUGGGUUCUGGGGGGAGUAUGGACGCAAGGCUGAAACUUAAAGGAAUUGACGGAAGGGCACCACCAGGUGUGGAGCCUGCGGCUUAAUUUGACUCAACACGGGGAAACUCACCAGGUCCAGACAUAACUAGGAUUGACAGAUUGAUAGCUCUUUCAUGAUUUUAUGGGUGGUGGUGCAUGGCCGUUCUUAGUUGGUGGAGUGAUUUGUCUGGUUAAUUCCGAUAACGAACGAGACCUUAACCUGCUAAAUAGCCAGGCCGGCUUCGGCUGGUCUCUGGCUUCUUAGAGGGACUGUCAG
RNAcentral lists this ribosomal RNA (732 nucleotides) under uncultured eukaryote. RNAcentral's name for it is "SSU rRNA". It matches the Rfam family "Eukaryotic small subunit ribosomal RNA", at positions 672 to 1426 of the family's 1831-position model. The record is from RNAcentral.